This is a long non-coding RNA of Perca fluviatilis (European perch), 2480 nucleotides long. RefSeq lists it as uncharacterized. The transcript has 6 exons. The record is from RefSeq and is a predicted model, not a curated record. NCBI's taxonomy places the organism in Eukaryota, Metazoa, Chordata, Actinopteri, Perciformes, Percidae.
AGUGCAGCCUGAGUGCUGUGAGGAAGAUUAUGAGUAAGAUAGAAAGCACACAUGAAUUUGGGCUUUGUUGUGUGGCAAGAUGAUAAAAGAUGGAACUCUUUGUCAGAGCGGUUUUUGUGUGUGUAUGUGUGGCAGCGGUCUGGCGGAGGCUGGAAAGCAGGUGGGCGAGAGGAGUUGAAAUGACACCUGGUAACAGGCUGACAGCCCCAAGUACCUCAGAGCCAGUCAGCUACGCUAAUACAGCAAUGGUAUCAACAUAAACACUCCCAAGAACCGGCACGUCUCUCAGUGGACUAGCACCCCAAGGCGCUCCACUCCAUCAGCCUGAGAAAUGGACCCUCCUGCUGUUUACUCCUACCCAGCAGGGCCACAAGCCCGUACCUGAGGUGAUGACCACAUGGACCUCAGCACCUGGCAGCCAUUCAUCAUUCCCAGCAGCACUGCAGCCUUUGAUACCCUGAUAUGGUUCUGAUGGUGUAUGCAAGAGGUCGAUCUCGAAGAAGCCCAGGCCAUGGAGGAUGGUGCUCUCCUCCAGUUUGCUGCAGAGUCCCGCUAUCCUGUACGGCUGUGCAUCUCAACCAGACCUAAACAUGCACAUUUGACACAUAGGCACAGUGAUGAGGCUGACCUAAAUGACUGGGAUAUUAUUGGGAGAGUGAGAGAGGGAGACCUCUGGUGAAUACUGAUGAAGCUUGGCACAAAGCUGCCUCCUGGCCUCAUUAACCUGCCGAAGACUGCCUUUGUUUUCCUCUGCAAUGCUCCAAACACUUCCUACAUCCUGUCCGAAAGGAGUUUCGGAAGUCACGCCGUGGACAGAGAAGAGGCAGCCUUCAAGAAGCUCAGGGGUGGCAGCAUGAGCAGGACCAGCACACUGUGUGUUGGGAAAAGAAAAGAAGAAGAAAAGUUUGUCAAAAUGUCACAGGAAAAGGGAGACUUAUUAAGAGGAAAUUAAGCAGUAAAGUGUGUGAAUUAAGUAAAAAAAAAAAAAAAAGUAAAAAACAUGUUUGUAAAGAGUUUUUAAAUGUGUUGAAAAGUGCCAGAUGGAGAAAGGGGAAAAGUCAGCUAUUUUGCAAUACAACACAAAAACAUGGCUCAUACAGUCUCCCGCCGCACUUGCAACAACUAAAGAAGAAGGAGGUGGAGGCGAGGACAGAGAGUGAGGAAGUGGAGCGAAAGGAUGAGAACAAGGUAAAGCAAAAGUAGGACGGGAGGUUUGUGCUCUUUCAUAUCCCUUGGCACAGCACGUCGUUGUUUUGUUAGUUGACGUGUGUGCAGUGUGAUGCCCGUGUGCGCGUUCGUACGUGUCUUUGUAUGUGUGUGUGUGUGUUAGCGCAGGAGAUUUCAAUUUCAUCUUUAAUGGAAACAGCAAAUAGGGGAACAAAUAAAAUGCAAAGGAGAAGAGCAAAUCCUCCCUGCAGAGGCCCAGUCAGAAUGGAUGAUGAGGCCGACAUGAAGCAAACAUUCUGCUGUUCACAAAACAAGGUGGGUAUGAGGAUAGGGGAGGCAGCGACAGGAGACACAGGGGGAAACUGAGGUGAAGAGGGAGGAGGAAAAAGCAGCCUGGAGGAGGGUGAGGGAAAGAGGAGGAACGAUGGGGAGUACCCAGAAACAGGAGGAGGAAAUAGAAGAGCAAAAAGGAGAAGGCAGAGAGGGAGUGAGGCGGGAUGAAGGGACGGGGGAUCAGUCAUGGUGUGUCUUCCAGUCAGAUUCGGCCCUUAUACUGUGGAAGGGAGUAGCCGUGUAGUCAGAAAUCAUCAGGAGCAGGAACAGAUUAGAUACAGGCUAUUGGUUCUGAUGAGGCCUCGUAUAGAUCAGUAAUGGCUCAGUAGGGACAGAGGGAAAAAGAGUGGGAGAGACAGAGCAGCAGUAAGGUGCUGGCUUUCAGUACUGGUAGCACUAGGAGUAUAGAUUCCCUGUAUGCAUAUGGAAAUGAUUUUAUAUUGUAAAAGGAAGUUGUUGGUAGGUCCAAUUCUACAGAACAAAUAUCUGUGAAAAUUAUGUGUGUAUUAUGUGGAAUACACCAGUUAAAUAAGUUAAAUGUGAUAGUAUUUCACCAUAUGUGUAAAUCUUGUUAGUUACGCCUUUUCCUGUUAAUCCACUUGACAGUAGGAUGAAAACAGAGGGACAGCGAGAGCAGAUGAAGGAAGAGGGAAGUGGAGGGCUGGCGGCGGAGAGAGAUGCCUCAGCCUGCUGCUCUGCCAUGCAGGGACGUGACCACCCACCGGGCCAGUCAAGGCUGAGGCCUUGCAUCAUAUCAGAGGUGCAGAUAGACACCCAGCCGAGUCAUCUGGUCUUUGGGGGAUGGGACAGAUGGACACAUACAAACGUGCGAGUGCACUCGCACAGGCACACCACAUAGACAUGGGCAGAACAUAGAACCAUGCUUCAUAAAAGAUUAGAAACAUUUCUGUGUGAUCGUGUGUGCCACGCACGCACACACGCACGCACGCACGCACGCACCCACAGGUACUUUUAAUGAA